GAUGUAGCUCAGAGGUAGAGUAAAUGCCUAGCAUGCAUAAGGCCCUGGGUUUGAUCCCCAGAAUC
RNAcentral lists this transfer RNA (65 nucleotides) under Ictidomys tridecemlineatus (thirteen-lined ground squirrel). RNAcentral's name for it is "Spermophilus tridecemlineatus (thirteen-lined ground squirrel) tRNA". It matches the Rfam family "tRNA". Rfam says of the family: Transfer RNA (tRNA) molecules are approximately 80 nucleotides in length. Their secondary structure includes four short double-helical elements and three loops (D, anti-codon, and T loops). The record is from Rfam by way of RNAcentral. Lineage: Eukaryota; Metazoa; Chordata; Mammalia; Rodentia; Sciuridae.